RNAcentral lists this ribosomal RNA (639 nucleotides) under Pleurotus spodoleucus. RNAcentral describes it as "eukaryotic LSU rRNA". The stretch from base 245 to 398 matches the Rfam family "5.8S ribosomal RNA". The record is from RNAcentral. Lineage: Eukaryota; Fungi; Basidiomycota; Agaricomycetes; Agaricales; Pleurotaceae.
AAGGAUCAUUAAUGAAUUCACUAUGGAGUUGUUGCUGGCCUCUAGGGGCAUGUGCACGCUUCACUAGUCUUUCAACCACCUGUGAACUUUUGAUAGAUCUGUGAAGUCGUCUUUCAAGUCGUCAGACUUGGUUUGCUGGGAUUUAAACGUCUCGGUGUGACAACGCAGUCUAUUUACUUAACACACCCCAAAUGUAUGUCUACGAAUGUCAUUUAAUGGGCCUUGUGCCUAUAAACCAUAAUACAACUUUCAACAACGGAUCUCUUGGCUCUCGCAUCGAUGAAGAACGCAGCGAAAUGCGAUAAGUAAUGUGAAUUGCAGAAUUCAGUGAAUCAUCGAAUCUUUGAACGCACCUUGCGCCCCUUGGUAUUCCGAGGGGCAUGCCUGUUUGAGUGUCAUUAAAUUCUCAAACUCACUUUGGUUUUUUCCAAUUGUGAUGUUUGGAUUGUUGGGGGCUGCUGGCCUUGACAGGUCGGCUCCUCUUAAAUGCAUUAGCAGGACUUCUCAUUGCCUCUGCGCAUGAUGUGAUAAUUAUCACUCAUCAAUAGCACGCAUGAAUAGAGUCCAGCUCUCUAAUCGUCCGCAAGGACAAUUUGACAAUUUGACCCCAAAUCAGGUAGGACUACCCGCUGAACUUAA